RNAcentral lists this transfer RNA (61 nucleotides) under Kirchnerius guangxii. RNAcentral's name for it is "tRNA-Val". Lineage: Eukaryota; Metazoa; Arthropoda; Insecta; Coleoptera; Lucanidae. The record is from RNAcentral.
CAAAUUAAAGCUUAUAUUAAGCAUUUUAUUUACAUUAAAAAGUUGACUGUGUAAUUCAGUU